Molecule: transfer RNA, 69 nt
Filed under: Desulfovibrionales bacterium
Lineage: Bacteria; Pseudomonadati; Thermodesulfobacteriota; Desulfovibrionia; Desulfovibrionales
Description: tRNA-Leu
Rfam family: tRNA
About the family: Transfer RNA (tRNA) molecules are approximately 80 nucleotides in length. Their secondary structure includes four short double-helical elements and three loops (D, anti-codon, and T loops).
Source: RNAcentral
GGGCAGAAAGGGCCUGUUUUGGGCCUCAGAAGCCAAAGGCCGCAGGUUCGAAUCCUGCAUUGCCCACCA